This 468-nucleotide ribosomal RNA is filed under the name uncultured bacterium. Its description in RNAcentral is "partial 16S ribosomal RNA". It matches the Rfam family "Bacterial small subunit ribosomal RNA", at positions 28 to 507 of the family's 1533-position model. The record is from RNAcentral.
GACGAACGCUGGCGGCGUGCUUAACACAUGCAAGUCGAACGGACAGGCCCUGCUUUUGUGGGGUGCUCGAGUGGCGAACGGGUGAGUAACACGUGAGUAAACUGCCCUUGACUUUGGGAUAACUUCAGGAAACUGGGGCUAAUACCGGAUAGGAGCUCCUGCUGCAUGGUGGGGGUUGGAAAGUUUCGGCGGUUGGGGAUGGACUCGCGGCUUAUCAGCUUGUUGGUGGGGUAGUGGCUUACCAAGGCUUUGACGGGUAGCCGGCCUGAGAGGGUGACCGGCCACAUUGGGACUGAGAUACGGCCCAGACUCCUACGGGAGGCAGCAGUGGGGAAUAUUGCACAAUGGGCGGAAGCCUGAUGCAGCAACGCCGCGUGCGGGAUGACGGCCUUCGGGUUGUAAACCACUUUCGCCUGUGACGAAGCGUGAGUGACGGUAAUGGGUAAGGAAGCACCGGCUAACUACGUG